UACAGAGGUCCCAAGCGUUGUUCGGAUUCACUGGGCGUAAAGGGUGCGUAGGCGGUCGGGUAAGUCUGACGUGAAAUCUCCAAGCUCAACUUGGAAAUGGCGUCGGAUACUAUUCGGCUCGAGGAAUGGAGGGGAGACUGGAAUUCUCGGUGUAGCAGUGAAAUGCGUAGAUAUCGAGAGGAACACCUGCGGCGAAGGCGGGUUGCUGGGCUGACACUGACGCUGAUGCGCGAAAGCCAGGGGAGCGAACGGG
RNAcentral lists this ribosomal RNA (253 nucleotides) under uncultured bacterium. RNAcentral's name for it is "partial 16S ribosomal RNA". It matches the Rfam family "Bacterial small subunit ribosomal RNA", at positions 524 to 776 of the family's 1533-position model. The record is from RNAcentral.